RNAcentral lists this ribosomal RNA (945 nucleotides) under Triticum aestivum (bread wheat). RNAcentral's name for it is "partial small subunit ribosomal RNA". Lineage: Eukaryota; Viridiplantae; Streptophyta; Magnoliopsida; Poales; Poaceae. The record is from RNAcentral.
AUGGCGAGGCUUCCCGGUCUGCGUUGCUGCGACCUUGCCGCGAGCGGCUCCCUCCCUCCUCUCGGCCUUGCCUGCCGCCCUCGCAGGUCGCCCCGCGCCUCGGCUCUACGCUACUCGUCUCUCCAAGCUGGUGACAGCCUCGGGGAGGAUGUCUUGCGCAUGUUCCUUGAGGAUAGGCAGACGAAUGGGGACUUCGUCUCCAAAGUCGCUGACAUGGUUUUGAGGAGAAAUGACACAGGUCUUGAUGUGUUAGAGGCUACCACAGAUCAAGGAAAUGCUGCAGAUGUUGGGCAACCUGACGAUUUCAGGGAUGAUGUUAUGAGUGAGGGAGUCGUGGGAUUUGAGGCAACUGGAGAUUUUGUGUCCACUGAGGGCAGCCUUACUGUGAGAAGGAGGCUUUCUGCUCUGGCUGGGCUGAAGGAGAGUGAUAAAAGGAAGGAAUUCAACCUUCUGAGAUAUGAAGCAAUUAAGGACGAACUGUUGCUCUUGACCGUAGGAAUUGGAGCCGCUUGCACUAUAUAUUGUGUCCUAGUCUUCUCUCUCGAGGCUGGUAUCAGUUAUGCUUUUGGAGUUGCUUUCAGCUGGUUGUAUCUUCAACUUCUGUAUCGACACGCAGAUAACCUAUCGAAGGAAGAUGUUCCUGAAGUUUUUCUAAAGAAGAAAGUGAAGAAAAUCGGCAUUCGAAGCGAGGAUUUGAAGGAUACAUUAGAGAAGACAUUGGGUGGCUCUCUAUUUGUUCUUUCAUCCCCAAGGCUAAUAAUUCCUGCAGUGAUUUUUGGGCUGUCAACCUUUUCUAGUCAUUUUCAAAAUAACAUUUUUAAUUUUGAGCUUGUUCCAGGGAUGAUGGGGUUCUUUGCGUACAAGGCCGCAGCUUUGGUACAGGUCUACAGAGAUAACGAUGAUCUUAGAUUGAUACUCCCCGACGACGAUCCUGACUACAGCUGA